UGGGGAAUAUUGCACAAUGGGGGAAACCCUGAUGCAGCAACGCCGCGUGAGUGAUGACGGUCUUCGGAUUGUAAAGCUCUGUCUUCAGGGACGAUAAUGACGGUACCUGAGGAGGAAGCCACGGCUAACUACGUGCCAGCAGCCGCGGUAAUACGUAGGUGGCAAGCGUUGUCCGGAUUUACUGGGCGUAAAGGGAGCGUAGGUGGAUAUUUACGUGGGAUGUGAAAUACUCGGGCUUAACCUGGGUGCUGCAUUCCAAACUGGAUAUCUAGAGUGCAGGAGAGGAAAGUUGGAUUCCUAGUGUAUCGGUGAAAUGCGUAGAGAUUAGGAAGAAUACCAGUGGCGAAGGCGACUUUCUGGACUGUAACUGACACUGAGGCUCGAAAGCGUGGGGAGCAAACA
Molecule: ribosomal RNA, 402 nt
Filed under: uncultured bacterium
Lineage: Bacteria
Description: bacterial SSU rRNA
Rfam family: Bacterial small subunit ribosomal RNA
Source: RNAcentral